GUCGUUUUUGACAUUUUCAGGGGUUGUACUUUAACGAACUCCUCCUAGAGAUUUAUUCAGAUCAACACCAAACUUUGUCAGUGUAAUCUAAAGGCCUUUGCGAUGUUAAAUUGCGAAGAUCUUGAGGUUUCGUUUAAGGGCGUGUCUGUGGCGGCCUUACAAAUUUCGAUGUUUCGCCAUGAGAAAGGAAGUUGCUAUAACUCAGACAUACAAUGUCCAAUCUGCCCCAAACUUCACAUGUUUGAGAAGACUCCUGACCUGAAUAUAUCUACAUGCUAAUAUUCAGAUAUCGCUAUAGCGCCACCUGCUGGCAACAGGAAGUGACAUGUUUUACGCCGUAACAAACUACUCCUAGAAAUUUUAUGACAUUUUAUAAUUUUUUUUGGUCAGUCUAAUCUAAAGGCCUUUGCGAUGUUAAACUGUUAACAUCUUGGAUUUCCAUUAAAGGGUGUGGCCAUGGCGCCGUGACAAAGUUUGAUGUCUCGCCAUGGGAAUAGAAGUUGUUGUAACUCAGGCAUAAGAUGUCCGAUCUUCCCCAAACUUCACAUGUUCGAAAAGAGUCUUGGCCUGAACACAUCUGAAGGUCAAUAUUCCACUAUAAUCAUAGCGCCACCUGCUGACAACAGAAAAUGGCUUGUUUUACACUAACUUAAACAUGCAAUGUCCAAUCUGCACCAAACUUCAAAUAUUGAUAAGAGUCAUGGACUGAAGAUAUCUAAAGGCCAAUGUUCAGUUAUAAUCAUAGCGCCACCUGUUGGCAAUAGGACACAACAUGCUUUAUACUAACUCAAACAUUCCAUGUUCAAUCUGCACUAAAUUUCAUAUGCUUGAUAAAAGUGCUGGACUGAAGAAAUCUACAUGCUAAAAUCGAGUUAUAGUCAUAGCACCACCAGCUGGCAGCAGGAAGAUUGGCACAUAUAAAUGACUUUGACAUAUUUCUCUUAUAUUUACCACAUUAAACGCAUAUUUCUUGCCGUUCGCUGUUUUACUAAAGUCACCCGCUGGCGGUGAGCCCGGGUGCGAGGGCCCGUUCAUCGCUGCUUGCAGCUUUAAUUAUUAUUAUUAUUAUUAUUAUUAUUAUUAUUAUUAUU
Cyprinus carpio carpio is the source of this 1091-nucleotide long non-coding RNA. The record is from Ensembl. NCBI's taxonomy places the organism in Eukaryota, Metazoa, Chordata, Actinopteri, Cypriniformes, Cyprinidae.